UAAUGAUAGAGGUGCGGGUUUCAUCAGUAUUUCCGGCUGUGGAUAUGAGAAGAUAUCCAGUCUGUGGCAGACUGGCCGGGGAGAAAGGGAAGACCGCCGAAGGACUUUCUUUUGCCAUAGGAGGAGGUUCUGGGCUGACGCAGAAUAUGCGGCAGACUGUCACUUGUCGUGGAGCGCUAUCA
RNAcentral lists this non-coding RNA (182 nucleotides) under uncultured Blautia sp. RNAcentral describes it as "Lysine riboswitch". It matches the Rfam family "Lysine riboswitch aptamer". From Rfam's summary of the family: Riboswitches are metabolite binding domains within certain messenger RNAs that serve as precision sensors for their corresponding targets. Allosteric rearrangement of mRNA structure is mediated by ligand binding, and this results in modulation of gene expression. Lineage: Bacteria; Bacillati; Bacillota; Clostridia; Lachnospirales; Lachnospiraceae. The record is from RNAcentral.